GGACGGUGCUACUCAAGUCAAGGUUCGGAUAUAAUUUUUCGACUGCAUCUCGAUCGUUUUCAUACCUGACGCAGUAGGAGGUGAACCUGCCUUCGAGGAUCUCUUCUUUGAAUUCUUUUAAAAUUUUGAAGUUCUUGAUUGCCUGACUCAAUGCCUCCCUUGCCGACUCUGCUUCCGCCUUCUCUAACUCAAUGUUGGC
RNAcentral lists this long non-coding RNA (199 nucleotides) under Elaeis guineensis (African oil palm). RNAcentral describes it as "long non-coding RNA (EGUI_LNC011299)". The record is from RNAcentral. Lineage: Eukaryota; Viridiplantae; Streptophyta; Magnoliopsida; Arecales; Arecaceae.